GAUGAACGCUGGCGGCGUGCCUAAUACAUGCAAGUCGAACGCAUUGUGGUUGAAAUGAUAUGAAGAACUUGUUCAGAUUUGAUUUUCAACAUUGCAAUGAGUGGCGAACGGGUGAGUAACACGUGGGAAACCUACCUCUUAGCAGGGGAUAACAUUUGGAAACAAAUGCUAAUACCGUAUAAUAAUUAAAACCGCAUGGUUUUAGUUUAAAAGAUGGUCUUGCUAUCACUAAGAGAUGGUCCCGCGGUGUAUUAGUUAGUUGGUGAGGUAAUGGCUCACCAAGACAAUGAUACAUAGCCGAGUUGAGAGACUGACCGGCCACAAUGGGACUGAGACACGGCCCAUACUCCUACGGGAGGCAGCAGUAGGGAAUCUUCCACAAUGGACGAAAGUCUGAUGGAGCAACGCCGCGUGUGUGAUGAAGGUUUCGGCUCGUAAAACACUGUUGUAAGAGAAGAAUGACAUUGAGAGUAACUGUUCAAUGUGUGACGGUAU
RNAcentral lists this ribosomal RNA (495 nucleotides) under uncultured bacterium. Its description in RNAcentral is "bacterial SSU rRNA". It matches the Rfam family "Bacterial small subunit ribosomal RNA", at positions 28 to 478 of the family's 1533-position model. The record is from RNAcentral.